AGCGAACGCUGGCGGCAGGCCUAACACAUGCAAGUCGAACGAACUCUUCGGAGUUAGUGGCGGACGGGUGAGUAACACGUGGGAACGUGCCUUUAGGUUCGGAAUAGCUCCUGGAAACGGGUGGUAAUGCCGAAUGCGCCCUUCGGGGAAAGGAUUUAUCGCCUUUAGAGCGGCCCGCGCCUGAUUAGCUAGUUGGUUGG
Molecule: ribosomal RNA, 200 nt
Filed under: uncultured bacterium
Lineage: Bacteria
Description: partial 16S ribosomal RNA
Rfam family: Bacterial small subunit ribosomal RNA
Source: RNAcentral